This 433-nucleotide ribosomal RNA is filed under the name uncultured bacterium. RNAcentral describes it as "bacterial SSU rRNA". It matches the Rfam family "Bacterial small subunit ribosomal RNA", at positions 958 to 1392 of the family's 1533-position model. The record is from RNAcentral.
AACGCGAAGAACCUUACCACAUCUUGACAUCCUCUGUCCCCUCUAGAGAUAGAGUUUUCCCUUUCGGGGGACAGAGUGACAGGUGGUGCAUUGGUUGUCGUCAGCUCGUGUCGUGUGAUGUUGGGUUAAGUCCCGCAACGAGCGCAACCCUUAUGCUUAGUUGCCAUCAAAUUUGCCCACUCUAAGUUGACUGCCGGUGAGAAACCGGAGGAAGGUGGGGAUGACGUCAAAUCAUCAUGCCCCUUAAGUUUUGGGCACACACGUGCUACAAUGGACAAUACAAAGCGCUGCGAAACCGCGAGGUCAAGCAAAUCCCAUAAAGUUGUUCUCAGUUCGGAUUCUAGUCUGCAACUCGACUAUUUGAAGCUGGAAUCGCUAGUAAUCGAUGAUCAGCAUGCGCCGGUGAAUACGUUCCCGGGCCUUGUACACACCG